GACGAACGCUGGCGGCGUGCUUAACACAUGCAAGUCGAACGGAAAGGCCCUGCUCUUGUGGGGUGCUCGAGUGGCGAACGGGUGAGUAACACGCGAGUAACCUGCCCUUGACUUUGGGAUAACUUCAGGAAACUGGGGCUAAUACCGGAUAGGAGCUCCUGCUGCAUGGUGGGGGUUGGAAAGUUUCGGCGGUUGGGGAUGGUCUCGCGGCUUAUCAGCUUGUUGGUGGGGUAGUGGCUGACCAAGGGUUCGACGGGUAGCCGGCCUGGGAGGUGGGCCGGCGACCAUGGGACUGAGGGACGGAGCAGUAGCCUACGGGACGCAGCGGGGGGGAAUAUGGCACAAUGGGCGGAAGCCUGAUGCAGAAAUGCCCGGUGCGGGAUGACGGCCUACGGGUUAUAAACCGCUGUCGACUGUGACGAAGCGGGAGUGACGGUAAUGGGUAAAGAAGCACCGGCUAACUACGUG
Molecule: ribosomal RNA, 468 nt
Filed under: uncultured bacterium
Lineage: Bacteria
Description: partial 16S ribosomal RNA
Rfam family: Bacterial small subunit ribosomal RNA
Source: RNAcentral